GUGCUUGCUUCACCAGCACAUACAAUAAAAUUGGAGAAUUUUAUUGUAUGUGGAGAAGAUUAGCAUGGUCCUGUACAAGGAUGACACAAAAAUUUGUGAAACAUUUCAUUAAAAA
This is a small nuclear RNA of Delphinapterus leucas (beluga whale), 115 nucleotides long. Lineage: Eukaryota; Metazoa; Chordata; Mammalia; Artiodactyla; Monodontidae. The record is from Ensembl.